GUGCCCGCAUCGGCAGUACACAUACGAAAAUUGGAACGAUACAGAGGAUUAGUCUGGCCCCUGCACAAGGAUGACAUGCAAAUUCGUGAAGCAUUCCAUAUUUUU
Molecule: small nuclear RNA, 105 nt
Filed under: Carlito syrichta (Philippine tarsier)
Lineage: Eukaryota; Metazoa; Chordata; Mammalia; Primates; Tarsiidae
Source: RNAcentral